UGAAGAGGCGUCCGUUGAGGUACAAAGCUGUAACCUUUGUUAUGGGAAAUAUCCUUCUCUUUAA
This 64-nucleotide transfer RNA is filed under the name Arctica islandica. RNAcentral describes it as "tRNA-Tyr". The record is from RNAcentral. Lineage: Eukaryota; Metazoa; Mollusca; Bivalvia; Venerida; Arcticidae.